UCAGCAUACUGCGGUGAAUACGUUCCCGGGCCUUGUACACACCGCCCGUCACACCAUGGAAGUUGGCCAUGCCCGAAGUCGUUACUUCAACCCGCAAGGGAGGAGGAUGCCGAAGGUGGGGCUGAUGACUGGGGUGAAGUCGUAACAAGGUAGCCGUACCGGAAGGUGCGGCUGGAUCACCUCCUAA
This 187-nucleotide ribosomal RNA is filed under the name Betaproteobacteria bacterium. RNAcentral describes it as "partial 16S ribosomal RNA". It matches the Rfam family "Bacterial small subunit ribosomal RNA", at positions 1349 to 1533 of the family's 1533-position model. The record is from RNAcentral. Lineage: Bacteria; Pseudomonadati; Pseudomonadota; Betaproteobacteria.